GCUAUCGGAAGCACGGAGCCUUCCGUGCUUCCAGCUUGUUUUCGAUGUUGCGACUUUCGAAUCGUCGAUCGGCUCCGUUAAACUUGAUCUAGAGUAUUUGAAGUAGACUAGAAAAUAAAUUUUAUGAUUUUACGAUAUCAUGCCUAGUGAACGACAGAGACUCAAAUAGCAACAGUGAAAAUAAAAAUCUUACAAAAUGUAAUAAUAUGACAUUAAAAUUUUAAAUCAAAGAUAUUGAUCUUAUUUUAUAUAGUAUAAAGAAUUUUCUAUCAAAAUUUCACGUGAUUUGGAUAUUUCUACACCGUUAAACUUGCAAACGGCUCACUACGGCCAUUAAAAUUUGUUAAUUUUGAGCCCAUUCGAUCACUAGGCAAAUGAUAUCGAAAAAUAAUAAAAUUUAUUUUCUAGGUACUCCAAAUACUCUAGAUCAAGUUUAACGGAGCAGAUCGACAAUUCGAAAGUUGCAACAUUGAAAACGAGCUCGAAGCACAGAAGGCUCCGUGCUUCCGAUAGUAUAGGAGCCUCACUCUAUAUAUAUAUAUAUAUAUAUAGAGAGAGAGAGAGAGAGAGAGAGAAUAUAUAGGUCCUAUAAUAUAUGUUAUUAGAAGCACGGAGGCCUAUAUGCUUUUGAACCGUUUUCAAUGAUAGAGUUUCUGAAUCGACAAUCGGCUUCGUUAGAUUUAAUCUAGCUUAUUUGAAGUACCUGAAAAAUAAAAUUUUACAAUUUUUCGAUAUUAUUUACCUAAUGAUCAAAAUAGUUCAAAAUUAAUAAUUUUUAAUGGUUGAUGUGUGUCGUUUAUAAAUUUAAUGGUGUAGACAUAUUCAGAUCAGAUUAAAUUUUGAUAGAAAUUUUUUUUAUACUAUCUACACUAAGAUUAAUAUCUUUGAUCGAAAAUUUUAGUAUUAUAUCAUAUUUUUUUUGUAGAAUUUUUAUUUUCAACCGUUGAUUUUGAGUCUUUUCGAUCAUUAGGUAAAUAAUAUCGAAAAAUUAUAAAAUUUAUUUUCUAGAUACUUCAAAUAUGUUAGAUCAAGUCUAACGGAGUUGAUCAUUGAUUCGAAAGCUUCAUUAUCGAAAAUGGCUCAAAAGUACGAAGAUCUUCGUACUCUUAAUAGUACACAAGAUCUACUUUAGAUAUAUAU
RNAcentral lists this long non-coding RNA (1140 nucleotides) under Ananas comosus (pineapple). Its description in RNAcentral is "long non-coding RNA (ACOM_LNC040957)". Lineage: Eukaryota; Viridiplantae; Streptophyta; Magnoliopsida; Poales; Bromeliaceae. The record is from RNAcentral.